UACGUAGGGUGCAAGCGUUACUCGGAAUCCCUGGGCGUAAAGCGCACGUAGGCGGCUUCUUAAGUCAGGGGUGAAAUCCUGGAGCUCAACUCCAGAACUGCCUUUGAUACUGGAGAUCUUGAGUCCGGGAGAGGUGAGUGGAACUCCGAGUGUAGAGGUGAAAUUCGUAGAUAUUCGGAAGAACACCAGUGGCGAAGGCGGCUCACUGGCCCGGUACUGACGCUGAGGUGCGAAAGCGUGGGGAGCAAACAGG
RNAcentral lists this ribosomal RNA (253 nucleotides) under uncultured bacterium. Its description in RNAcentral is "partial 16S ribosomal RNA". It matches the Rfam family "Bacterial small subunit ribosomal RNA", at positions 524 to 776 of the family's 1533-position model. The record is from RNAcentral.